AUUGGCUGAUAUUGUGAGUACGUAUUUACCUCAUCCUCGUGGACGGGUCUCAAGUGGAAGGGUACUAGGACGUUCAAGGGUUCUUGUUAUUGCUUUAGGGGUUGAAGCUUUUUGCAGAAGAUAGGAUCACAACGAAUCUCCCUGUUGAACUAUGUUUUGCUUGAAGAUUGUCAACAAGUUUCAUGGAGUUUUUUGGGGUAUUCUAAAGCUUCUAAGGCCUUUUGUGAACCCAAGAUUGUAGUGUUUUUUUGUCCAUAAGGUAAAGUCUCCAUUCCUAUCAAAUUUCUCAAUUUCGUACUUCGUAGUAGUCAUUUUUUUUUCUUUCCUUUUGAUGGCUUUGAUACCAGUUCUCAAGAAAAAGUAGUUUCUUUGUAUUUUGAAAAUAGUAAUCUUGGGAUAUGUGUAAAAAGGUAAAUCAAUAAAUGCAGAAAUGACCUUUUUAUUUUUUUUCUUCCUUUCUCUUACCUUUUCAUAUUUUCCUGCGAGCUAUCAUUGUUGGAAUUUAUGUUUUAAAACUUGUAGUUUGUAGUUUAAAUUACAUUAUAUUCAAUAAAGUAGUUAUUGAUGACAUAUUAGUGAAAAUAGUAUACUAUAAUCUUGAAUCCAAUAAACUAAGGUUCUGAGACUAUCUAGUGUAGACUUGAGCUUUAUGUAGAGACAUAAAUGUGGAUUAAAUUAUCCUUAGAUUUGUAGAGGUGAGGGCAGCUCAACGGCGUUGGCACAAUAAGCCUCCAAUUUUAGUGGUAAGACUGGGUGGAUGGCUAGGGACAUCGAAUGCAAGACGGAAUUCAGUCCUACCUGUUUUAGGGUUAGUAGAUAGGUUGUUCCUUUAAAGAAUCUAAGUCUUGAACAAGGGGCUCUGCGCCCUCAUUGUCCCGAGUGGGAUUCAAUUUAUAGGUUGAACUUAAAAUCAAUUGUUCAAUAGUGGAUCAAUAGGACUUAAGGGACAAGGUAUGUAAUCUGAGCGGUGAAACGAUAUUUUGACUCUACCGAGAUUACGAACAACUUGUGACGGAUUAACUUACUGAUUAUGGUUAUAUCAGUUGGACAGAAAUAUAUCUAUAGUGACAGGAAUGCAACUGCAGAACUUUAGUGGAAUGACUCGUUAGUUAAUGAAUGUUGAUUAGCUUUGUCUAAAAGGAUUUUGCUAGUUAACCUCAGAUCGUUAGAGACCAUGAUCUAUAGAUCUAUUAGGUUCCUCUUCUAGCUCAUAUGAAAUUAACUUAGAAUAAUAUGUUGGAACAAUUCGAAUUGUUCGAAUUAAGUAAAGAGAGAGAAAUCGACGAAUAUAUGUGAUAUAACUAUUGGUUAUAAGUUUGAGAUAGAGCUUUAUAUUUAAAUGUGAUUUAAAUGUGAAAAAUAUGAAUACCAAUUCAUAUUUAGAAGCUCAGAAUUGAUGGAAAUGGUUAAAGUUGUAAAAAGUCAAAAUGUUGACUUUUGACUUUGAAAAGUCGAACUUUGACCGGCUUUAUCUUCAAAUGUGAUUUGAAUUUCAGAAAAAUGAAUGUGAAUUCAUGCAAAAUGUUGACUUUUGACUUUGAAGAAUUGUCAAAUGACCAUUUUACCCUAUGAUUAAAGUUAGUGGAAAAAUCCAAUAUUUUAUUGGAUAAUCCCACUAACUCUUAGUGGAAGCUCAUGGUGAGGACACCAAGCCCACCAAGAAAAUUGGAAUGGUGUCGAAUUCCACUAAUUGUAAGUGGAAAGUGAGGUGUUGCAUUUGGAAGAACUAAUUACAUACAAUAGUUGCAUGCAAUUAGGUCAUUUUUCUAAUUUUUGAAGACUUUUGAAAUUUUGGUUAUUUUUAUUUUUUUACAAAAUAUACCAAUGUAAUUUCUCUCCUAAAAUCUCAAACCCUAAAUAAUUUACCUCCAAUUUUCAAUCUCUCUCUCUCUUUAUUUUCUUCACUGAUCGGGUCCCACAACCUAGUUCUUAGUCUAGAGAAUAGCGGGUCAACACUAAAAUUGAUCCCGAUGGUCCCGGUUCGAGUUUGUGUGGAGAUUAUUGAGGAAUCGAGAAAUCUUCAAAGAUAAGUUUUCUUUAAUCCUAAUUUAGUUUAAUUAGGGUAAUUAUAAGCAUGUUAAAUUCUAAAGAGUUCAGAUGCAAUUAGAGUAUUUUUCGAUAUUUUUUCUAUUGCAUUUAUAUGCUUUCCAUUAGUCAUUUCUUUUCACUUUACUUUUCUAUUUCACUUUGCAUGCUCUCCGAGAGAGAAGAGGAAAUAAGGUUUCAAUGGAAGAUGAAGAGAAAAGAAGUGUAGAUAGGUGAAGAUUAUAGUGGUUCAACAAAUUGCUUACAUCCACUCUUGUAAGAAGAUAGAGAGAUUUUAUUUAGUAAGAAGAUGAUUCAAGACAAGAAUGAACAGAUUAGUUUCUUCUUUCUUGUUCUCCAUGUAUUUAUUCUAUGUUUCUUCUUUUAAGCUACAAGAUUUAGAUAUGUUAUUUAGUUAUUUUAUUGAAACAUAAUAACUUCCUUUUCUAACAAAAAAAAAAUAUAUAUAGUUGUAACUAAUUUCAUUUGUUUUCUUUACCAAGUGAAGAGGUUCAAGCAUUUUGCAAAAGAUAGAAUCACAAAAAAAACUUUUGGCAUUUGAUUAGAUUUAAUUAUUUCUUUAUGGGUAUAUGUUAAUAGAGUGUUUUGUAAUUAUAAACUUAGUAUUAUCUUUUUGGAUCAGGACCUCCUUUAAGUGGUUGGGGUGAUGAUUUUAUGUGAGUAUUCUUUUAUAUGCCUUACUAGAUCGUUUUGUAUUGUUACAAAAUGAAGCAGUUUAUAGACUUCUAAGAUAGUUUAUGGUUUAAUUUUUUUAUAAGCUUGGUUUAUGAUCCUUUUGUUAUUAACGUUUAUUGUCUCAUCACACUAAAGUUUUUUGCUUUAUUGUACUUUUAAGAUAUUUUGGUGGCCUUUGUUUCUUUUACUUACUUUGAUGUAAGACUUUUUAGAUUUUGGGUGCAAGUAUGGAUAGGAACCUCAUUACCUAGAUCAUCUUUCAACGUGCAUUGGUAAGGAUUUCAACUCAUAGGAUGUGUAAAGUUAUAUGUUAUCAGAUUAAGAGCAACUAUGUUAUCAUUUGCAUGUUGCUCGAAUGUCGUUAUGUGCAUGUUAAGUUGGAUCCUAACACUAUUUUACCUUGGCUAUCUUUCAAAAGUUCAUUUGUGUGCUUAUUAAGAAAGAUGAAAUCUGCUUGGCAUAUACUUAAUGAAUGUUAACUAAUGUAAAUUUUCGACAAAUUUAUAGGUAUUCAAAGAAUCCGUGGA
Long non-coding RNA from Cucumis melo (muskmelon), 3248 nucleotides. RefSeq lists it as uncharacterized. The record is from RefSeq and is a predicted model, not a curated record. NCBI's taxonomy places the organism in Eukaryota, Viridiplantae, Streptophyta, Magnoliopsida, Cucurbitales, Cucurbitaceae. The transcript is spliced from 3 exons.